This 503-nucleotide ribosomal RNA is filed under the name uncultured bacterium. RNAcentral's name for it is "bacterial SSU rRNA". It matches the Rfam family "Bacterial small subunit ribosomal RNA", at positions 28 to 490 of the family's 1533-position model. The record is from RNAcentral.
GACGAACGCUGGCGGCGUGCCUAAUACAUGCAAGUCGAACGCACUCUCGUUUAGAUUGAAGGAGCUUGCUCCUGAUUGAUAAACAUUUGAGUGAGUGGCGGACGGGUGAGUAACACGUGGGUAACCUGCCCUAAAGUGGGGGAUAACAUUUGGAAACAGAUGCUAAUACCGCAUAAAACCUAACACCGCAUGGUGUAAGGGUUGAAAGAUGGUUUCGGCUAUCACUUUAGGAUGGACCCGCGGUGCAUUAGUUAGUUGGUGAGGUAAAGGCUCACCAAGACCGUGAUGCAUAGCCGACCUGAGAGGGUAAUCGGCCACACUGGGACUGAGACACGGCCCAGACUCCUACGGGAGGCAGCAGUAGGGAAUCUUCCACAAUGGACGAAAGUCUGAUGGAGCAACGCCGCGUGAGUGAAGAAGGUUUCGGAUCGUAAAACUCUGUUGUUGGAGAAGAAUGUAUCUGAUAGUAACUGAUCAGGUAGUGACGGUAUCCAACCAGAAAG